Molecule: microRNA precursor, 64 nt
Filed under: Caenorhabditis briggsae
Lineage: Eukaryota; Metazoa; Nematoda; Chromadorea; Rhabditida; Rhabditidae
Description: microRNA cbr-mir-7589 precursor
Source: miRBase by way of RNAcentral
GUAAGAUUCCUUCAUUUCAUCCAAAAAGUUGGUUGAAUUAUUUGGAAAUGGAGAAAUCUUACAG